Molecule: ribosomal RNA, 369 nt
Filed under: Triticum aestivum (bread wheat)
Lineage: Eukaryota; Viridiplantae; Streptophyta; Magnoliopsida; Poales; Poaceae
Description: partial small subunit ribosomal RNA
Source: RNAcentral
AUGCGGACGCCAACGGCGACGAGGAAGAAGGCAUCGAGGGCGAAGAAGAUGAUGGUGUGGAUGAGGAUGGAGACGACGCUCGUGUGGAACUUGCCGCACUCGAUCGUCCACGAUUUGCCAGGGAUCUGGAUGACAAGCCCUGGGGACAGAAGGAUGAAGAGCAUGAAGGAGAUGAGCACCAGACCCCAGUCCUGCAUCUUCUUCCUCCUCUUCUUCUUUGGGAUGAUGAUGAUGAUGACUACUCAAGCCAGCUAUGGCCUUUUCUUUAUUUAUGGAUGGCUUUCCAUCCAUUUUGUGAAUUAUCACUUAUAUAUGUACUGCCAGGACAGCAGGGAAAAUGGUGUGGUCUGUAGAAAGUUCUGUUUCUGA